UGCCUCAAAGAGGGGGACAACAGUUGGAAACGACUGCUAAUACCGCAUAAGCCCACGGCUCGGCAUCGAGCAGAGGGAAAAGGAGCAAUCCGCUUUGAGAUGGCCUCGCGUCCGAUUAGCUAGUUGGUGAGGUAAUGGCCCACCAAGGCAACGAUCGGUAGCCGGACUGAGAGGUUGAACGGCCACAUUGGGACUGAGACACGGCCCAGACUCCUACGGGAGGCAGCAGUGGGGAAUAUUGCACAAUGGGGGAAACCCUGAUGCAGCGACGCCGCGUGGAGGAAGAAGGUCUUCGGAUUGUAAACUCCUGUUGUUGGGGAAGAUAAUGACGGUACCCAACAAGGAAGUGACGGCUAACUACGUGCCAGCAGCCGCGGUAAAACGUAGGUCACAAGCGUUGUCCGGAAUUACUGGGUGUAAAGGGAGCGCAGGCGGGAAGACAAGUUGGAAGUGAAAUCUAUGGGCUCAACCCAUAAACUGCUUUCAAAACUGUUUUUCUUGAGUAGUGCAGAGGUAGGCGGAAUUCCCGGUGUAGCGGUGGAAUGCGUAGAUAUCGGGAGGAACACCAGUGGCGAAGGCGGCCUACUGGGCACCAACUGACGCUGAGGCUCGAAAGUGUGGGUAGCAAACAGGAUUAGAUACCCUGGUAGUCCACACCGUAAACGAUGAUUACUAGGUGUUGGGGGAUUGACCCCCUCAGUGCCGCAGUUAACACAAUAAGUAAUCCACCUGGGGAGUA
Molecule: ribosomal RNA, 739 nt
Filed under: uncultured bacterium
Lineage: Bacteria
Description: bacterial SSU rRNA
Rfam family: Bacterial small subunit ribosomal RNA
Source: RNAcentral